GGAUGGUACUACUGCUCGCAGUGAGGCUGCUGGAGUUUGACUGACGCAUCAAUAUGGAUCUUAAUGAGCCAUUGUAGUGGAUGUUGGCGAUAGUUGGUCCACUGUAGGAGUGGGGUGUGCAUCAAAAUGGAAUUUAAGAGGCUGAGUCCUUAAGUCUAUGGCCAUAGCAGUGUUGUUAUGAUUUGACAUCUCAAGAUUCAGUCCAUAUUGAGCCCACAGCGAGAUUCGCGGUGAAAAAUGGAGUUCAACGAGACCAAGAUCACUCCAAACGAAGCUCGGAUGGAGGAGAUACGAGCUUUUGNNNNNNNNNNNNNNNNNNNNGGCCUGCGCGCGUGGGCCAGCCCAGGCCCAGGCACCUUGCUUGGGCCUAUACCCCGAUCCACGAUUGGGCCUGUGGACCGCGUGGGCGUUUCCCACGCAUUUCUCGCGGUCCACGACACUAUUUCGUGGAUCGAAAUGCGAUCGGAUGACGUGGGUGGCUUCCGGUCUUGAUCCGACGGUCCAGGAGGUUAUUUAGCUUCAUUUUGGACUCCUAAUCCCUCUCUAAUUAGGUUUAAGCCCUUUAAAUAGGGCUGAAUGGUGAAACAGAGAGAAGGCGGCUUGGUUUUAUCUCACGAAAAUCCGUGAGGGCUGUGUUCGCACAAAAAUCAGAGAAGAUCGGAGCCCGUGAAGGAGAGAGAGAAGGCUGUAUGCUGUGAGAGAAGGAGCAGGAGGCUCCUGGAUAGCGGACGUCGGUCACUUCAGGAGUUCAGGGGGUCUUCCAAGAGAGAGAGAGAGCUUUUGAGAGGAGAAUUUCUAGUGAGACAGAAUUGGGUGUAUAAGGAUUGAGGGUGAGGUCUCCUCUUGUAAAUUUUUUUUCAUAGUGAAGUUUGUAUGCCCCGUGGAGGCGAGCCCUUUUGUCGCUAAUCCACGUAUUUUGAUUGUUUUGUUUCUUCUUUCUUCCUACUGCAUCGCGUGGUACUGAAAAGAUCUUGGGAGGUGGUGUCCUGACUAGACAUCCACCCAAUAAAUGGUAUCAGAGUAAGGCGGUAUAAGGAUGCAAAUUGCAGUGGUGGUGAGCAAAACUGAAGAUGGAGAAGACAGGAACAAUCAAGAUAGAGAUCAACAAGUUCGAUGGUAAGAGCAAUUUCUCCUUGUGGCAGGCAAGGGUGAAGGACGUGCCCAUCCAAUAGAGGUUGAUCGAUGCUCUCUUGUGCGAUGAGAAGCCGACCACCAUGGAGAUGCGGGAUUAGAAACGGCUAUAGAUGCAGGCGG
Molecule: long non-coding RNA, 1254 nt
Filed under: Elaeis guineensis (African oil palm)
Lineage: Eukaryota; Viridiplantae; Streptophyta; Magnoliopsida; Arecales; Arecaceae
Description: long non-coding RNA (EGUI_LNC005443)
Source: RNAcentral